GGGCGCGUAGCUCAGUGGUAGAGCACACCCUUCACACGGGUGGGGUCACAGGUUCAAUCCCUGUCGCGCCCACCA
This 75-nucleotide transfer RNA is filed under the name Erythrobacter sp. RNAcentral describes it as "tRNA-Val". It matches the Rfam family "tRNA". Rfam says of the family: Transfer RNA (tRNA) molecules are approximately 80 nucleotides in length. Their secondary structure includes four short double-helical elements and three loops (D, anti-codon, and T loops). RNAcentral also lists the same sequence under 15 other names. Lineage: Bacteria; Pseudomonadati; Pseudomonadota; Alphaproteobacteria; Sphingomonadales; Erythrobacteraceae. The record is from RNAcentral.